UCCCGGAGCGGAGCCCUCGCAUAGCUUCUGUCCCGGAGACACACCCCCAAGGGACAGGAGGCGAGGCCGGUCUGCCGCUCGGGGCCCGCCGAGAGUCCAGGUCAGCCUCCGGGACGGAGCCUUAUCUGACCGCGUUCGUCCCCGUCCGCCCUCUGGAGCGCGGCCCUCACCGAUGCACUCCAGCUUCUUCUGCGGACAGCUCUCCAGGACCAGCAGGCCCAGCUCUCGGGCCGCCGCGCAGUAGGGAACCUUGUGACUCUACCACCUGAAGCUUCUGGAAGAUCUCGGGCGGCAGAAAUGGAGAUAGUUUCCCCCCUUCAUCCGAGUACACCCGGCGAUGUCGACUGGUGGAUGAGGUGCCUGGAGCAGCCACGGGCACAGCUGGCUUCAGGUGUGUUUUCCCUGCAAGACGCACACAAGCAAGGGGCAUUGUGGAGUCCAGCGCGCCACAGACACGUGGAUUUGUGUGUGGGGGGUGUCCGAGGGAAAUCUGCUGGAGACCCACCGAGCUGGGCAGCUGUUGACUGGGCCCUCUCCAGACACUGCUCAGCCAGUUUCAGCAUCUUUGAGGUGUCUGGGGCCAGAGUGUCUCCACCUUCUGGGGAGCAAGAGACAAGAAAACUGAUCACCAUCGCCUUUGUCACUAAACAGAGUCUUGCUGAAAUAAAAACAAGGACAAGCCCA
Molecule: long non-coding RNA, 684 nt
Organism: Mustela lutreola (European mink)
Lineage: Eukaryota; Metazoa; Chordata; Mammalia; Carnivora; Mustelidae
Exons: 2
Source: RefSeq, a predicted model, not a curated record